This 2925-nucleotide ribosomal RNA is filed under the name Escherichia coli. RNAcentral describes it as "bacterial LSU rRNA". It matches the Rfam family "Bacterial large subunit ribosomal RNA". The record is from RNAcentral. Lineage: Bacteria; Pseudomonadati; Pseudomonadota; Gammaproteobacteria; Enterobacterales; Enterobacteriaceae.
GGGUUGUGAGGUUAAGCGACUAAGCGUACACGGUGGAUGCCCUGGCAGUCAGAGGCGAUGAAGGACGUGCUAAUCUGCGAUAAGCGUCGGUAAGGUGAUAUGAACCGUUAUAACCGGCGAUUUCCGAAUGGGGAAACCCAGUGUGUUUCGACACACUAUCAUUAACUGAAUCCAUAGGUUAAUGAGGCGAACCGGGGGAACUGAAACAUCUAAGUACCCCGAGGAAAAGAAAUCAACCGAGAUUCCCCCAGUAGCGGCGAGCGAACGGGGAGGAGCCCAGAGUCUGAAUCAGUGUGUGUGUUAGUGGAAGCGUCUGGAAAGGCGCGCGAUACAGGGUGACAGCCCCGUACACAAAAAUGCACAUACUGUGAGCUCGAUGAGUAGGGCGGGACACGUGGUAUCCUGUCUGAAUAUGGGGGGACCAUCCUCCAAGGCUAAAUACUCCUGACUGACCGAUAGUGAACCAGUACCGUGAGGGAAAGGCGAAAAGAACCCCGGCGAGGGGAGUGAAAAAGAACCUGAAACCGUGUACGUACAAGCAGUGGGAGCACGCUUAGGCGUGUGACUGCGUACCUUUUGUAUAAUGGGUCAGCGACUUAUAUUCUGUAGCAAGGUUAACCGAAUAGGGGAGCCGAAGGGAAACCGAGUCUUAACUGGGCGUUAAGUUGCAGGGUAUAGACCCGAAACCCGGUGAUCUAGCCAUGGGCAGGUUGAAGGUUGGGUAACACUAACUGGAGGACCGAACCGACUAAUGUUGAAAAAUUAGCGGAUGACUUGUGGCUGGGGGUGAAAGGCCAAUCAAACCGGGAGAUAGCUGGUUCUCCCCGAAAGCUAUUUAGGUAGCGCCUCGUGAAUUCAUCUCCGGGGGUAGAGCACUGUUUCGGCAAGGGGGUCAUCCCGACUUACCAACCCGAUGCAAACUGCGAAUACCGGAGAAUGUUAUCACGGGAGACACACGGCGGGUGCUAACGUCCGUCGUGAAGAGGGAAACAACCCAGACCGCCAGCUAAGGUCCCAAAGUCAUGGUUAAGUGGGAAACGAUGUGGGAAGGCCCAGACAGCCAGGAUGUUGGCUUAGAAGCAGCCAUCAUUUAAAGAAAGCGUAAUAGCUCACUGGUCGAGUCGGCCUGCGCGGAAGAUGUAACGGGGCUAAACCAUGCACCGAAGCUGCGGCAGCGACGCUUAUGCGUUGUUGGGUAGGGGAGCGUUCUGUAAGCCUGUGAAGGUGUGCUGUGAGGCAUGCUGGAGGUAUCAGAAGUGCGAAUGCUGACAUAAGUAACGAUAAAGCGGGUGAAAAGCCCGCUCGCCGGAAGACCAAGGGUUCCUGUCCAACGUUAAUCGGGGCAGGGUGAGUCGACCCCUAAGGCGAGGCCGAAAGGCGUAGUCGAUGGGAAACAGGUUAAUAUUCCUGUACUUGGUGUUACUGCGAAGGGGGGACGGAGAAGGCUAUGUUGGCCGGGCGACGGUUGUCCCGGUUUAAGCGUGUAGGCUGGUUUUCCAGGCAAAUCCGGAAAAUCAAGGCUGAGGCGUGAUGACGAGGCACUACGGUGCUGAAGCAACAAAUGCCCUGCUUCCAGGAAAAGCCUCUAAGCAUCAGGUAACAUCAAAUCGUACCCCAAACCGACACAGGUGGUCAGGUAGAGAAUACCAAGGCGCUUGAGAGAACUCGGGUGAAGGAACUAGGCAAAAUGGUGCCGUAACUUCGGGAGAAGGCACGCUGAUAUGUAGGUGAAGUCCCUUGCGGAUGGAGCUGAAAUCAGUCGAAGAUACCAGCUGGCUGCAACUGUUUAUUAAAAACACAGCACUGUGCAAACACGAAAGUGGACGUAUACGGUGUGACGCCUGCCCGGUGCCGGAAGGUUAAUUGAUGGGGUCAGCGCAAGCGAAGCUCUUGAUCGAAGCCCCGGUAAACGGCGGCCGUAACUAUAACGGUCCUAAGGUAGCGAAAUUCCUUGUCGGGUAAGUUCCGACCUGCACGAAUGGCGUAAUGAUGGCCAGGCUGUCUCCACCCGAGACUCAGUGAAAUUGAACUCGCUGUGAAGAUGCAGUGUACCCGCGGCAAGACGGAAAGACCCCGUGAACCUUUACUAUAGCUUGACACUGAACAUUGAGCCUUGAUGUGUAGGAUAGGUGGGAGGCUUUGAAGUGUGGACGCCAGUCUGCAUGGAGCCGACCUUGAAAUACCACCCUUUAAUGUUUGAUGUUCUAACGUUGACCCGUAAUCCGGGUUGCGGACAGUGUCUGGUGGGUAGUUUGACUGGGGCGGUCUCCUCCUAAAGAGUAACGGAGGAGCACGAAGGUUGGCUAAUCCUGGUCGGACAUCAGGAGGUUAGUGCAAUGGCAUAAGCCAGCUUGACUGCGAGCGUGACGGCGCGAGCAGGUGCGAAAGCAGGUCAUAGUGAUCCGGUGGUUCUGAAUGGAAGGGCCAUCGCUCAACGGAUAAAAGGUACUCCGGGGAUAACAGGCUGAUACCGCCCAAGAGUUCAUAUCGACGGCGGUGUUUGGCACCUCGAUGUCGGCUCAUCACAUCCUGGGGCUGAAGUAGGUCCCAAGGGUAUGGCUGUUCGCCAUUUAAAGUGGUACGCGAGCUGGGUUUAGAACGUCGUGAGACAGUUCGGUCCCUAUCUGCCGUGGGCGCUGGAGAACUGAGGGGGGCUGCUCCUAGUACGAGAGGACCGGAGUGGACGCAUCACUGGUGUUCGGGUUGUCAUGCCAAUGGCACUGCCCGGUAGCUAAAUGCGGAAGAGAUAAGUGCUGAAAGCAUCUAAGCACGAAACUUGCCCCGAGAUGAGUUCUCCCUGACCCUUUAAGGGUCCUGAAGGAACGUUGAAGACGACGACGUUGAUAGGCCGGGUGUGUAAGCGCAGCGAUGCGUUGAGCUAACCGGUACUAAUGAACCGUGAGGCUUAACCUUACAACGCCGAAG